RNAcentral lists this ribosomal RNA (253 nucleotides) under uncultured bacterium. RNAcentral's name for it is "partial 16S ribosomal RNA". It matches the Rfam family "Bacterial small subunit ribosomal RNA", at positions 524 to 776 of the family's 1533-position model. The record is from RNAcentral.
UACGUAGGGCGCAAGCGUUGUCCGGAAUUAUUGGGCGUAAAGGGCUCGUAGGCGGUUUGUCGCGUCGGGAGUGAAAACUCAGGGCUUAACCCUGAGCCUGCUUCCGAUACGGGCAGACUAGAGGUAUGCAGGGGAGAACGGAAUUCCUGGUGUAGCGGUGAAAUGCGCAGAUAUCAGGAGGAACACCGGUGGCGAAGGCGGCUUUCUGGCCAUCAACUGACGCUGAGACGCGAAAGCGUGGGGAGCAAACAGG